AGGCUCAGAUUCAUGUUGAGUGCAUGGAGAACAAACAUUCAAAUGUGAUAGCAAAAAGUGGUUCUCAUCAUGCAAGGAGGGAGAAUAAAAAACAGGCUCAUCAACAAUAUAAUCAUCAACAUACCUAUUAAUAACAUCAUCAUCAACAAUAGAAUCAAUCUUAGGUAUGUUUACCUCCACCUUAUUUAACUUCCAUCUUCAAUUCACUUUAAUACCCUGCAAAACAAUGUAAAAACAAGCAUAAUAUAUCUAAAACCAACUUUUGACUCUCUCAUGACUUAACUAAGUGUUUUACUUGAUUUUAAGCUCAUUCUAAGUCAUAAAGAGUGUGUUUUGAUAUUAAAUUUAAGUAUGAAAAUAACGGUUUUUAGACCGUUAUCAAUAAUGCCUAUCCAUCUUCUUCUAAUUAUCACUUAACUCAAAAACCCAAACGAUACUCUAAUUCCCUUCAAAGACUUCACAUUCUUUUAACUCGGAAAUUUUGACUUUCUAUACACGCUCCUUAAAUUUGUUCUAUAUCUUUCACAACUUCUUCUCAACUCUUCUUCUUCUACUUCGUUUCUUCUGACCUCUGACGUUACUGAUAUACUGAAUCACACUGAAUUCUCAAACCUUGCUACACCCAUGCUUAUCCAAAGCUUCUCUUAUUCUAGCCUUCGAAUCCAACUCUUCUUAUGGAAUGCACGGUAUUCGAUCUGCUGACUCUGUUCUUGAAAAUUCUUCACCCAAACAUUUUUUCUAAACUCCAAUAUGUAUUCACCCAUCCUUUGAAACCUAAAUUCUGGUAUUCUAACUCCUUGUCUUCGAGGCAAGAAUGUGUCUCAAAGGCUUAAACCAUUUCUAAAGAAGGUAUACAGAUCAAGUUCUCCUUGAAUCUGCAUUCCUCUACUACUCUAGAGCACAAUAUACCACC
Molecule: long non-coding RNA, 913 nt
Filed under: Vigna radiata
Lineage: Eukaryota; Viridiplantae; Streptophyta; Magnoliopsida; Fabales; Fabaceae
Description: long non-coding RNA (VRAD_LNC001026)
Source: RNAcentral